UCUAAACAUGUAAAAUAGAGGGCUUGGCCAUGAACAGAUACCUUCGAUUUUGAGCCCUUCGAUUUUUUUUAAAAAGAACACUGGCCCAACUUCAUUUCAUAAUUUCCUUCAUAUCUAAAAACUUACAGCCGCUCUAUAUAAAUUUCCCCCAAAUCGGAAAUCCUAUUAGGGUUUUAGACCUUUUUCAAGAUUCGAAAGGAAUAAGCUUCAACGUCCAAAUCGGGAGGAAAUGGUGAAGGGACGCCAAGGAGAGCGUGUCAGACUCUAUGUAAGAAGAACCAUCUUGGGUUACAAAAGGGAGAUUGAGUCAGAGUCUUCAUGUACCCUAGCAAUAUCUUACACGUGGAAUUAAACUCCCUGCGUAUGGAUUGCCUUCGAAACCUCAUCUUCUUCUGCUCUAGAAAUUUUAAUAUCGAAUUCCCUUUUUUGAAAGAGUUAAUGAUUGAGGAUUGCCCGAAAUUAAAAGAAUUCAUUAGUAAAAGCAGUACUGAGUCCGGCAUGCAUACUCUCUUUAAUGAGAAGCUUUUUGGCAUAUCCUUUUAAGUCGAUAACAGCUAGUUGCUGCUAUGUUUGGAAUAAGCUACUUUAAACUUCCACAAGCUUAUGAUUAAGGUGGAAUUGCUGUAUCAAUGGUAAUGAAAUAUGCAGACAAUAUUGUGAAGGUCUAUUCUACUUCAGUGGCAAUGCUUCUCACUGCCGUUGUUUCAGUGUUUCUGUUCGGCUUCAAUCUUACCCUUGCUUUCUUCCUCGGUGCUACGUUAUCUCUGGCCACAUUUUAAUAUCCAUACAAUAGAUAGUCUCUCUUGUAUUGAAGCUUCAAAUCUGGCAUCUAGCAUAAUUUAGAGCAUCACCGCCUGUCAGGUGAUCGAGAUUCCGUUUAACAAUUUUCUUUAUUGCUGGAACAAGUCUUAACCAAGAUCAAGGUCAAAGUACUUCACUAAGUUAUAUAUGCAGGCAUUGCAAUGAGAGGUGAUGAUGAUUAGGCAUUAUAUUCUCACCAGGAUGAAUUUUGUUUUAGAAAUUGUAAUACUUUGUGUGUCUCUCUGUGUGUGUUUUUUUAUGUAUUAAAUUUAAUUUCAUUAAUUUCUAUAUUUAGUUUUGAAGUUUAAAUUUUAAUGGAAAAUUUAAUUUAAUUAA
Molecule: RNA transcript, 1137 nt
Organism: Gossypium arboreum
Lineage: Eukaryota; Viridiplantae; Streptophyta; Magnoliopsida; Malvales; Malvaceae
Gene name: CMP-sialic acid transporter 2-like
Exons: 7
Source: RefSeq, a predicted model, not a curated record